Long non-coding RNA from Acipenser ruthenus (sterlet), 164 nucleotides. RefSeq lists it as uncharacterized. Lineage: Eukaryota; Metazoa; Chordata; Actinopteri; Acipenseriformes; Acipenseridae. The transcript has 2 exons. The record is from RefSeq and is a predicted model, not a curated record.
GGAGCCAGUCCUUGAACAUUCACAGUUCAUUGACUUUCAACAGAAGAUGGACUGUGAUGUGAAUGAUGCCCUAUACUUUGUGUACAGGUUUAGUCAUCUGCUUUCGUAUGGAGAUCCCAAAGAAUAGGACAAGUUGAGUGAUGAGUUCCUGGACUAUCAACUUA